AUGGCCUGCCGCCUCGCCCUCUCCAAGAUUGACUCCAGUAGCCAUGAUCGAUCUUUGUGUCUGCUUGUGUCACAGGCUGCAAGGCAUCUUGCCAAGGAUAGAUGGGCACACGUGAUCCACACUUCUUCUUCCCGGGAACCUGCUGCAGCCGCAACUAUUAGCACAGGUAGCGUCCUUAGCGCAAACCUACAAGCGAGAUGCCAGUCGAGCUCUGUCCGUCACAACGCGCGGGGCCUGCACUCUGGCGCUGCUUCUAGCACUAAUCCAGAGAGAGUUGUGCAGGCCUUCGAAAGCCAGAACUCCACUCCGGCUCUCUCUGAGUACAUCAAGGCCCUUGUCAGUCUCCAAACCCAAGCUCGAGCAGAGGAAGGCCAGUUCAGCAAGGAGCUUUGGCGUACCUUUCGGGUCAUCACAGUCACUGGCCUUGUAAUCUAUGCCGGCAUGACUAGGCUUGACAGGUUGAACGAGCAAGGCCAUGAUGGUUUGGAAGAAGAUGAAGAUCGUGACCCCGAUGAUCUUCAAGAAGAAGAUUGCGACCAUGAUGAUCUGGAGGAAGAUGAAGAUGAUGAAGAUUAUGACAGCGAUGAUUCAGAAGAGGAAGAAGAGCAUGACUGUGAUGAUUCAAAAUGUAGUUUUGACGGUGUGAAUGAAGUGGCCCCAAAUCCGGGCACAAAAUUCAGUGAUGUCAAGGGGGUUGACGAAGCCAAAGCUGAGCUUGAGGACAUUGUUCACUAUCUACGAGAUCCCAAGCGUUUCACGCGCCUUGGUGGCAAGCUUCCAAAGGGUGUUCUGCUUGUGGGCCCACCUGGCACAGGGAAGACAAUGUUGGCAAGGGCUGUGGCUGGGGAAGCCUGCGUCCCAUUCUUUGCGUGCAGUGGCAGUGAUUUCGAGGAGAUGUAUGUAGGUGUUGGGGCUAAGAGAGUGAGGGAGCUCUUCGGUGAAGCAAAGAAGCAAUCUCCUUGCAUAAUAUUUAUCGACGAGAUUGAUGCCAUUGGAGGCCGCAGAAACCCGGAAGAUCCAACUUGUUACAGGCAAACCGUGAACCAGCUGCUUUCUGAGAUGGAUGGCUUCAAGCAAAAUGAUGGGAUCAUUGUUAUCGCGGCAACCAACUUCCCCCAGUCACUUGAUAAAGCCCUCCUCAGGCCUGGGCGUCUGGACCGUCAAAUUCAUGUCCCAAUUCCAGAUGUCGAGGGCAGACGGCAAAUCCUCGAGGCUUAUAUGUCAAAAGUCCAAGCCAGCAAGGAUGUGGAUCCGAUGACCAUUGCAAGGGGGACGCCUGGAUUCUCUGGUGCAGACCUCUCAAACCUGGUGAAUGACGCUGCUCUCAAGGCAGCCAAGGAUGGGGCGGAAGCUGUUAUGAUGCAUCACAUUGAGUAUGCCAAGGACAGGAUCAUGAUGGGAAGUGAACGCAAGUCAGCAGUGAUACCUGAUAACUGCAGGAAGCUUACCGCGUACCGUGAGGGAGGGCAUGCCCUUGUUACCAUCCACACGGAUGGCGCUCGACCUAUCCACAAGGUCACCAUUGUUCCCAGGGGAGAUGCUCUUGGCAUGGUGACACACCUGCCAGAGGAAGAAGAUGCGUAUAAAGAAACGAGGAAGCAAAUGCUGGCGAGAUUGGAUGUCCUCAUGGGACGCCGGGUGGCCGAGGAGCUUGUAUUUGGAGAGAGCGAGGUGACCGCUGCCGCCUCCUCUGAUCUAAGCCAGGCGACGCAGCUGGCAAUAGACAUGGUCACCAGGUAUGGUAUGAGCGGGCAGGUCGGCCUUGUUUCCUACGAUGAUGAUGGUGGCAGCUGUGUGAAGAGGACGUCCAUGAGGGGGCUGCAGACAUCCCAUGUCGAUGAGGAAGUGAAGCAGCUAUUGGACAAGGCUUACAAGAAUGCGAAAACGAUUCUCACGACGCACAUCAAUGAGCUUCAUGUGCUAGCCGGCGCCCUCCUUGAGCAUGAAACUCUCACCGGGGACCAGAUCAACAAACUAGUAUAUAGGCAAGUAAACGGCCUUAACAAUUGUCAACAGAAUCAGGAAACGCCUCCUUCAGCCUAA
RNAcentral lists this ribosomal RNA (2043 nucleotides) under Triticum aestivum (bread wheat). Its description in RNAcentral is "partial small subunit ribosomal RNA". Lineage: Eukaryota; Viridiplantae; Streptophyta; Magnoliopsida; Poales; Poaceae. The record is from RNAcentral.